GACGAACGCUGGCGGCAUGCCUAAUACAUGCAAGUCGAGCGGAGUUAUGAAGGAGCUUGCUCUUGGUUAACUUAGCGGCGGACGGGUGAGUAACACGUAGGCAACCUGCCCUCAAGACUGGGAUAACUACCGGAAACGGUAGCUAAUACCGGAUAAUUUCUUUCCUCUCCUGAAGAGAGAAUGAAAGGCGGAGCAAUCUGCUGCUUGGGGAUGGGCCUGCGGCGCAUUAGUUAGUUGGUGGGGUAACGGCCUACCAAGGCGACGAUCAGUAGCCGACCUGAGAGGGUGAUCGGCCACAUUGGAACUGAGACACGGUCCAA
This 320-nucleotide ribosomal RNA is filed under the name uncultured bacterium. RNAcentral's name for it is "bacterial SSU rRNA". It matches the Rfam family "Bacterial small subunit ribosomal RNA", at positions 28 to 334 of the family's 1533-position model. The record is from RNAcentral.